AAGUCGUAACAAGGUAUCCGUAGGUGAACCUGCGGAUGGAUCAUUACCAAUUUAACUUAUUAUAAGUUUGAGUUACCCGAUCGCUUUGCGAGAGGGUACCCAACUUCUAAUGUAAAUGUUGAACUAGAUCAUAUUGGUGUGGGAUUGUUUGUGAAUAUUUUAUUCAUAGGCAAACCCCACGCUGAUACCCUUUUUCAAAUAUAUACAACUCGUAUAUACUACCAAACAAAACAAAAAAUAAAUCUUAAUAGGACUUAUAAACGAGCUGAGUGAGUAAAAUCCUCGGCUUCAAAAUUUAUAACUAUUACAACUUUCAGCAAUGGAUCUCUAGGCUCUC
Molecule: unclassified non-coding RNA, 337 nt
Filed under: fungal sp.
Lineage: Eukaryota; Fungi
Description: partial internal transcribed spacer region
Rfam family: Eukaryotic small subunit ribosomal RNA (bases 1-46)
Source: RNAcentral